RNAcentral lists this ribosomal RNA (429 nucleotides) under Gemmatimonadota bacterium. Its description in RNAcentral is "Gemmatimonadetes bacterium partial 16S ribosomal RNA". It matches the Rfam family "Bacterial small subunit ribosomal RNA", at positions 355 to 776 of the family's 1533-position model. The record is from RNAcentral. Lineage: Bacteria; Pseudomonadati; Gemmatimonadota.
UAGGGAAUCUUUGGCAAUGGACGAAAGUCUGACCGAGCAACGCCGCGUGUGUGAAGAAGGUUUCCGGAUCGUAAAACUCUGUUGUUAGAGAAGAACAAGGACGUUAGUAAUUGAACGUCCCCUGACGGUAUCUCACCAGAAAGCCACGGCUAACUACCUCCCAGCAGCCGCGGUAAUACGCCGGUGGUAAGCGAUGUCCGGAUUUAUUGGGCGUAAAGCGAGCGCAGGCGGUUUCUUAAGUCUGAUGUUAAAGCCCCCGGCUCAACCGGGGAGGGUCAUUAGAAACUGGGAGACUUGAGUGCAGAAGAGGAGAGUGGAAUUCCAGGUGUAGCGGUGAAAUGCGUAGAUAUAUGGAGGAACACCAGUGGCGAAGGCGGCUCUCUGGUCUGUAACUGACGCUGAGGCUCGAAAGCGUGGGGAGCAAACAGG